AAGUUGUGAUGUGGGCACUUCCUCAGUAGGUUCUUGAAUCUCUCCCAAACUUCAUACAAACUCUCUUGAUCAUGGUGGAUAAAGGUCAUUAUCUCAUUGCGCAGCUU
Jatropha curcas is the source of this 107-nucleotide non-coding RNA. The record is from Rfam. NCBI's taxonomy places the organism in Eukaryota, Viridiplantae, Streptophyta, Magnoliopsida, Malpighiales, Euphorbiaceae.